Molecule: ribosomal RNA, 274 nt
Filed under: uncultured bacterium
Lineage: Bacteria
Description: partial 16S ribosomal RNA
Rfam family: Bacterial small subunit ribosomal RNA
Source: RNAcentral
AUACGGAGGGGGUUAGCGUUGUUCGGAAUUACUGGGCGUAAAGCGUACGUAGGCGGACUGGAAAGUUGGGGGUGAAAUCCCGGGGCUCAACCCCGGAACUGCCUCCAAAACUUCCAAUCUAGAGAUCGAGAGAGGUGAGUGGAAUUCCAAGUGUAGAGGUGAAAUUCGUAGAUAUUUGGAGGAACACCAGUGGCGAAGGCGGCUCACUGGCUCGAUACUGACGCUGAGGUACGAAAGCGUAGGGAGCAAACAGGAUUAGAAACCCUAGUAGUCC